GGAGGCGUGGCCGAGCGGUUGAAGGCACCGGUCUUGAAAACCGGCAAGGGCGUAAGUCCUUCGUGAGUUCGAAUCUCACCGCCUCCGCCA
RNAcentral lists this transfer RNA (90 nucleotides) under Burkholderiaceae bacterium. RNAcentral's name for it is "tRNA-Ser". It matches the Rfam family "tRNA". From Rfam's summary of the family: Transfer RNA (tRNA) molecules are approximately 80 nucleotides in length. Their secondary structure includes four short double-helical elements and three loops (D, anti-codon, and T loops). Lineage: Bacteria; Pseudomonadati; Pseudomonadota; Betaproteobacteria; Burkholderiales; Burkholderiaceae. The record is from RNAcentral.